UGGGGAAUAUUGGACAAUGGGGGCAACCCUGAUCCAGCGAUGCCGCGUGAGUGAAGAAGGCCUUCGGGUCGUAAAGCUCUUUAGGUUGGGAAGAAGGGUAUGCGGGGAAUAUCCGUGUACUUUGACGGUACCGACAGAAUAAGCACCGGCAAACUCUGUGCCAGCAGCCGCGGUAAUACAGAGGGUGCGAGCGUUAAUCGGAAUUACUGGGCGUAAAGGGCGCGUAGGCGGUUAUAUGUGAGUGAUGUGAAAGCCCCGGGCUUAACCUGGGAAGCGCAUCGCAGACUAUAUGACUGGAGUAUAUGAGAGGGUGGCGGAAUUUCCGGUGUAGCGGUGAAAUGCGUAGAGAUCGGAAGGAACGUCGAUGGCGAAGGCAGCCACCUGGCAUAAUACUGACGCUGAAGCGCGAAAGCGUGGGGAGCGAACAGGAUUAGAUACCCCCGUAGUCC
This 449-nucleotide ribosomal RNA is filed under the name uncultured bacterium. RNAcentral describes it as "bacterial SSU rRNA". It matches the Rfam family "Bacterial small subunit ribosomal RNA", at positions 355 to 796 of the family's 1533-position model. The record is from RNAcentral.